Molecule: unclassified non-coding RNA, 370 nt
Filed under: Hevea brasiliensis (rubber tree)
Lineage: Eukaryota; Viridiplantae; Streptophyta; Magnoliopsida; Malpighiales; Euphorbiaceae
Source: RNAcentral
UUUUUAUUUUUUAUUUUUUUAAAAUGCAUUAAUUGAGUGGCCUCAAUCUAAAUCUAAAUCAAACUGGAAUCAUAUCAGAAUCGCCAGAAACCAGAUAGGGGCCAAAUCAGCCUCCGUGGUCCAGUUCACAUUCGUUCCCUCCAGAGACCGAAACUGCUGGUUGCAACCGAAACCAGACUGAAAACAGCUUAUCGUCAGGACUAUGUUGAUGUCCCUUUUCCAUUUUCGCUAAUAAGACCAAAAUUGCCAAAUUACAAUAAUGUUUCAACAGAGUUCAGUGUAUUACAGAUGCAUAAACCAUUCUACUCGAUUGAAUAGAACAAGUACUGUGCACAACAGAAACUAUAACAGGCUAUAGUUAGAAAACAAC